CUAGCCUGCCUUAGCCCUGCAGCACCGCCGACUGGACUUUUAACAGCCUGGAGCCACCAGGGUCCCUUUUCAACUGGACAUUCCAGUCGGAAACUGGACACCUGGCAACCCUAAACAAAUCUGAGUGCUGUGAGACCCUAGUCCAGUCAGUGAACUGCAGCGUGAGCUUCCACACACAGUCCUCGGCUAACUCCUCCGGGAGAAACGUUUUAUGGCAUGGAAGGGUCCAUCUAGUAAAAAAGGAAGGCAGUUGGUGGGGGGAACUACAUGUUCUAAAUAACUCCAAUACUGAGCUGCAGAGAACUGAAAGAAAACUCACGUCAAGGAAAUUUGAUGAGAAAAUCCAACAAAGACAAUUAUGGCAAGUGGAGAAUUGAUAUGAAAGUUACAGAUCUCCCCAUCAUAUUAAAUGAGCAAAAUGAAGAUAGAUCAUUCAUAAGAGUUCUGUUACUGAAAUGUUACGGUGUAAUGUGUGCUACCCAAAUA
Molecule: long non-coding RNA, 486 nt
Organism: Mauremys reevesii (Reeves's turtle)
Lineage: Eukaryota; Metazoa; Chordata; Testudines; Geoemydidae
Exons: 3
Source: RefSeq, a predicted model, not a curated record